Non-coding RNA from Lolium perenne, 2586 nucleotides. The record is from RefSeq and is a predicted model, not a curated record. NCBI's taxonomy places the organism in Eukaryota, Viridiplantae, Streptophyta, Magnoliopsida, Poales, Poaceae.
GUCGUUCCAUCGUCGUGCAUCCCUCUCGCCCCAACGAAUCCAAAAUGGGCCAAGCCCAACAUAUCCAACGCAGUCUCUUGAACACCUCCUCUCUCUCUCUCUCUUCCUCGCAGGCAUGUCGCCUCGCCGCCGCCGGCUCCAAACGCCACUGCUCGAGCACUGCCACCUCCAACCUCCGCCCUACUUCAGCACUGCCCCCCUCCGACCUCCAUCCUCUUGUAUACCUCCCCCCGCCUCCUCCUGCCCCACUCAUGUCGCCCACAGAUCGACACCGCCACCGCCGGCCGCCCCCAUUUUGAAGCCGCCGCUGCCGUUCGUGCCCAGAUCAAUGUCGCCGCCGUCCACAUGUCCCGUCUCAGAUCAAGACGUCUGCCUCCAGCCUGAUUCAUUGUCAACCAGAUCGCGGCCCCGGCGUACCACACCCGUUGGAGCUCCGGUUGCGGCGGCGCUAGGGCCCGGGAGCAGCAAUCAGCACUGGGAGAGGCGAGUAUUCUUCCAUGUAAACUUCAUUCCAUCCUCCCUCCUGAUUCCCCGCCGAUCUGACAAUUUUGUUGCUUGCGGUGCCACCAAAGCCUGAACUGCAACCAUGCACGAGCCUAGAAAGUUUUCAGGUGACACAUGAAGUGGAGCAGCAAAGGUUAAUGGAAGAAAGGGAUAGAGUGACGAGGGAGGAGGCUAAGAGGAGAAUUGUCAAGGCACAACCGCACAACCGAUACUGAAGGAGUUAAGGAGAUCACUUAUGAGAGGUUGCAAGAGGAGAACAAAAUUGCGUAGAAGUGUACAAGGCUGGGCAUGAAAUGAGAGUAACAACAAUGGAUUCUAGCCUCUGGGUGUUGUAAGGUGUGUUGACUAAUAUAUAGAAGAUACUUAAAAGUCCAAAUAUCUGAUGCCCCAUACUGUGCCAUGAUCAUCGUCUGCAAUGGCAACAACCGCCAUGAUCCAGAUUGUGGAGCCCUUUUGCAGAGUUCAGACUCACAAGUACAGAGUUCCCUCCCUGGGCAUCUGGAAUGACACUAAGUGCAGAGUUCCCUCCCUAGGAGUUAAUAUCUCCCUAGGCUAUGACAUUGUAUUGUUAUCACGUAUCCAAGUGAACAAAGUCAUCUUAUUACCAUUAAUAACUCCCUAGGCUAUGACAUUGUAUUGUUAUGACGUAUCCAGACCAUGGGUUGUAAGAACUGAGAUAUUUCUUCAUCCUUUCAUUCUAUCGUGGAAGUUCACCUUCAACGGGUUUCUUUGGCACUGGCUCCUACUGCAAGGUGGUGCAUGUUAUGUCUGAUUCGGAUGUAUUUAUUCACAAAAUAUGUCUAGAUACAUCCAAAUUUACGACAAGAAUUAUGGAAUUGAGGGAGUACAUUCCAUUUAUUUUGCAGCGUGUUACUGGGGUAGACUUGACGUGCAUGAUCUAGCGAUAAAGAUCUUUGAAGGAGACAUGGAGAUGGUGUACGACAGCGCUUUGAAAACCUUUUUGAAACUAUAAAGGUGAAGAGGAGGUGCCAAGCAAUCAAAGUAAACAACCGGCAUAGAUCACAAAAAGAAAUGAUAUACUCCUAUGUUGCUUUUCUCUGUAAGGUCAAAUUUUGACAGACCAAGCUAUCCACUGUUUUUUGUUAUACACAUGAGUCUCACACUUUAUCUCAUGAAAAACAAUACUUUUGGCAGCAAGCAAUUUUUUAUGUUUAUUCGUGUAUUUUUCUUACCGCAUAAGUGGGCCUUCCGUACUUGAGCAAACAAAGCCUAAUAAGAAUGUGCAUGAUGAGUGCUAUCCUUCUCCAUUAAGUAGCAUGAAUUUCCCUUACAUGCAUGCAUGGAGUUAUGUAACUUGGGCUGUAACAGUAACUACAAAGGGCUCAUAUAUAUACAUUAGUUAAGAAUCCUAAGCUUCUUUAAUAUUUAAUAAUGAUUCAAACUUGGUUUUCAUAGAUUAAUUUGUAGUUUGUGAAGACUGUGUAUCCUUAUAUCCCUUCCAUAUAAGGUAUUAUUAAUGGGUAUGACUGCAUGAGGGAGUACGAUAUUAAGUAAAUACAUAAUACCAAAAAUAAUAUUUCUGUCUUGGAUUUUAUACCAUGAUAUUCUUGUGAUCUGCUAUGACCAUUUGGGAACUUGGUCUGAUGCUACUUAUUGAUCUGGUAGCAUUUCUAAACGUAAACUAGAAAGGUCUAAUUGGCACACUGUCCGACUAUUUUUGUAAUUUUCGUGCAGCCAUUUGAUUUGAAAAUUUAAAUGUUAGUAUUUUUUAUUACCGAUUGCUUUUCAAUACAAACUAAUACCACAGAACCAACAAUAUUUGGAAAUAUUUUUCAGUUAUUUGGUGGCUUGCAAAAUCAGGUGAAUGGCUAUACAGGUCUUUCCUCUGUAAAAAUUCUAAUGCGAGCUGAAAAGAAAUAUUUCUUCGUAGAGGUGGUGCACUGGUGCCGAAAUGAAGCAACACCGUAGUUAACGAGCGGACACAGCGGGAUUAAGAUGACAUCUUGUUGCUUAGCAGGAGUGACACUUAUAGGAAAAAUGUAAGAAAAACAUUUUGGUUAAUUAUAUUGUACACUUAACUUUGAUGCAGAACCUCUAUAUAUCUGAGCCGUCACUUUGUUU